GCCCAAGCCUGCUCAGUGCGCGCGCGCAGCUUGAAUAAAGCCGAGUGACAAGAUGGCAUCUGACAGCUGGGUUCGCCCAUGUGCAGCACAGACUCUCCCCGAGAAGAUGGCACCCCCGUUCGGCAGCCCGCGCUCCACCGAUGGGGAACUUGGCCAUGAACAUCCCCUGCUGGCCUGGGAGGUGGUUCCCAGGAUCACCUGGCUGCUCUCAGCCCCACCCAUGGCUUCAGCUGGGUCUGGGCCGGUGCGGCCCCUGGGGCUGCCUGGCUGCUCCCAGCCUCUGUCAUGGCCCCAGCUGGCUCAGGAACUAGCUCCUUAGAGCGAUCCUCCUCUUUCAACUAAGCAAUCAGCUGUGCCUUAGUGAGCUUUCCAAUGUGCAGCCCUCUCUCUGCACAGCUCUACAAUGUCCUCCUUAAGGAGAUGGUGAUAGGCCAUCUCCACGCUGUUCCCACGUGGGUCACAGACUCACAGGCCCGUACUCUCUCAGUUCCCCACGAUCCCUGGGAGGAACCGCUUCAGUGCGACAGCCCUUCUCGGGGGUCCACUCUUGGGGUUAAGCCAUAGGCUCCUCUACCUCCUGGAACCGCACCUCUCUGAGCCUUCAGCACUCUUGGCUCUCGCUAAUCCCCCUUUGUUCUACUGCUCCUCCGUCACUCACUGCAGGAUGCUUUGUCCACGGGGUACAGUUUAUCCCAUUGCUACCACCAGUUGUCAGGGAGCCACAGGUCCGUUGCUCUGGAACUGUUCUGUAUGAAGCCAGCCAGGACUCUGGGGUGGCGUGACUCCCCUCAGGGCAUGCUGUCCAGGGCAGAAAGCCACCUUGGCUACGGCCUUCCUGGUCUGACCUUGGAGUAUUCAGCAUCCCUGUUCACACCGUACACUUCCCCAUGGGGCGUAUUCCUGGACAGGACCUCUGGGGAGGCCAUAGGGCCCUGCAUCCCAACUCCGCAGUCAGCCAUGACUCUCAGCCAGUGUUGUAAAACAAGGUUUAUUAGUCAAUAGGAACAUGGAGUAGAACAGAUAUUGUUAGCACAGAAAUCAGUGACUUUCAGCAAAGUCCAUCUUGGGGGACCCCGGAGCCAGAUGCCCUAGGCUCCCCCUCUUCCAGUCCCACACAGCAGACUGCCCUGGAUCCCGCUGCCUGGCCUCCCUCACAUCCCUUGCUCCUCCUCCGGUCUUUGUUUUGCUUCCCAGGCAAAGUGUCACUUGCUCGCAUCCUCCUCCUGGGUCUCAGGUUAUGAAGGGCAUCAGCCAUCACCUAUAUGCAGGCAGCUGAGGGCCUCGGCAGAAGUCACACACCCAAUUCCCACCACCUUUACCCAGUUCCUAGGGCAAAGGCUUAACACUUGGCGGGUUUGCAGGACCUUUUACCAGUGAAAGAGCCUCCCACUGUAAUAUCCUUGUCCUCUGUUUAUUGACCAUUACCAAGCAGAAUACACAUGCUAAACAUACAGUGCUCUGCUCACCAGUCCUGAUCAGGCAGGCGGCCUUUCCCAGCCGGCCAGGCCAGGCAAGGUCAGUCCCAGCUGGUUGCUGGAGGUCACAGUCGUGCAGAGGAUUCUUAGCAGCUUAGAUCUUAGGCUGUGUUGUCAUCUUCUUUUGUUCUUUCUUUCUGCUGGUCUCCUUCUUGGACCCCAGUUUAUACAGUGAAACUUGAAUCCUGCUUCGCUAGACUUUAACCAAUCAUUGUACUGAAAUCUAUCUAACCAAUCCUAACACAUUGUAACAAAAUUCUCUAACCAUUCAUACCCCACCACCUUAAUU
Dermochelys coriacea (leatherback sea turtle) is the source of this 1764-nucleotide long non-coding RNA. RefSeq lists it as uncharacterized. The record is from RefSeq and is a predicted model, not a curated record. NCBI's taxonomy places the organism in Eukaryota, Metazoa, Chordata, Testudines, Dermochelyidae. The transcript has 2 exons.